GAGAGUUAAACAGUACGUGAAAUUGUUGAAAGGGAAACGAUUGAAGUCAGUCGUGCUGGCGCGAAAUCAGCUCGACCACUAGGGGAUCACGGGCCGUAGCGAGCCUCAAAACCGUUACGACUUGUGAUUGCUUAGUGGCCUGGUGCACUUUCGUGUCGGCUGGUUAACAUCAAUUUCGAUCGUCAUAAAAAGGCUGGAGGGAUGUGGCUCCUUCGGGAGUGUUAUAACCUUUGGCGGAAUGUGGUGGUCGGGAUUGAGGCUUGCAACGAAUACCUUCAGGGCUGUUCCACCUGGCCUCUCAUCGGAAUUCUGGCGGCGACAGCUUGCUGACGUUGUUAGGAUCGGCCUUCGAACAGGCUAGAGUGUGAGCAAAUUCGUUAAGGAUGUUAACGUAAUGGCUUUAAACGA
This 408-nucleotide ribosomal RNA is filed under the name uncultured Entrophospora. Its description in RNAcentral is "uncultured Claroideoglomus partial 28S ribosomal RNA". Lineage: Eukaryota; Fungi; Glomeromycota; Glomeromycetes; Entrophosporales; Entrophosporaceae. The record is from RNAcentral.